AAUAGAUACCCAGGUAGUCCACGCCGUAAACGUUGGGCGCUAGGUGUGGGGGGCUUUCCACGUCCUCCGUGCCGUAGCUAACGCAUUAAGCGCCCCGCCUGGGGAGUACGGCCGCAAGGCUAAAACUCAAAGGAAUUGACGGGGGCCCGCACAAGCGGCGGAGCAUGUGGAUUAAUUCGAUGCAACGCGAAGAACCUUACCUGGGCUUGACAUACACCAGACGCCGGCAGAGAUGUCGGUUCCCUUGUGGUCGGUAUACAGGUGGUGCAUGGUUGUCGUCAGCUCGUGUCGUGAGAUGUUGGGUUAAGUCCCGCAACGAGCGCAACCCUCGUUCUAUGUUGCCAGCACGUCAUGGUGGGAACUCAUAGGAGACCGCCGGGGUCAACUCGGAGGAAGGUGGGGAUGACGUCAAAUCAUCAUGCCCCUUAUGUCUUGGGCUUCACGCAUGCUACAAUGGCCGAUACAAAGGGCUGCAAUACCGCAAGGUGGAGCGAAUCCCAAAAAGUCGGUCUCAGUUCGGAUUGAGGUCUGC
This 532-nucleotide ribosomal RNA is filed under the name uncultured bacterium. RNAcentral describes it as "bacterial SSU rRNA". It matches the Rfam family "Bacterial small subunit ribosomal RNA", at positions 777 to 1308 of the family's 1533-position model. The record is from RNAcentral.